UUAACGAGGAUCCAUUGGAGGGCAAGUCUGGUGCCAGCAGCCGCGGUAAUUCCAGCUCCAAUAGCGUAUAUUAAAAUUGUUGCAGUUAAAAAGCUCGUAGUUGGAUUUCUGGCUUGGUGCGCGCCGUCCGCUUCGGUUUCGGAGUGAGUGCGGUUGUGCGCCUGCCAUCCUUCUGGUUAGUAUGCUGUGCCCUUCACUGGGUGUCAGGUGCUAAUUGGAUCUUUUACUUUGAAAAAAUUAGAGUGUUCAAAGCAGGCUCGCGCUAUGAAUACAUUAGCAUGGAAUAAUAAUUUAGGACUUUUAUCCUAUUUUGUUGGUUUCUAGGACGAAAGUAAUGAUUGAUAGGGAUAGUUGGGGGUGCUAGUAUUCAGCGGCCAGAGGUGAAAUUCUUGGAUUCGCUGAAGACUAACUUAUGCGAAAGCAUUCACCAAGGAUGUCUUCUUUAAUCAAGAACGAAAGUUGGGGGAUCGAAGACGAUCAGAUACCGUCGUAGUCUCAACUAUAAACUAUGCCGACUAGGGAUGGGCAAACGUUGCUUUUACGACUUUGUCCGCACCUUAUGAGAAAUCAAAGUCUUUGGGUUCCGGGGGGAGUAUGGUCGCAAGGCUGAAACUUAAAGGAAUUGACG
RNAcentral lists this ribosomal RNA (628 nucleotides) under uncultured microorganism. Its description in RNAcentral is "bacterial SSU rRNA". It matches the Rfam family "Eukaryotic small subunit ribosomal RNA", at positions 534 to 1158 of the family's 1831-position model. The record is from RNAcentral.